RNAcentral lists this ribosomal RNA (645 nucleotides) under uncultured Castellaniella sp. RNAcentral's name for it is "bacterial SSU rRNA". It matches the Rfam family "Bacterial small subunit ribosomal RNA", at positions 63 to 729 of the family's 1533-position model. The record is from RNAcentral. Lineage: Bacteria; Pseudomonadati; Pseudomonadota; Betaproteobacteria; Burkholderiales; Alcaligenaceae.
CGAGCGCCCCGCAAGGGGAGCGGCAGACGGGUGAGUAACGCGUGGGAAUCUACCCAGCUCUACGGAAUAACCCAGGGAAACUUGGACUAAUACCGUAUACGUCCUUCGGGAGAAAGAUUUAUCGGAGUUGGAUGAGCCCGCGUUGGAUUAGCUAGUUGGUGGGGUAAAGGCCUACCAAGGCGACGAUCCGUAGCUGGUUUGAGAGGACGACCAGCCACACUGGGACUGAGACACGGCCCAGACUCCUACGGGAGGCAGCAGUGGGGAAUUUUGGACAAUGGGGGAAACCCUGAUCCAGCCAUCCCGCGUGUGCGAUGAAGGCCUUCGGGUUGUAAAGCACUUUUGGCAGGAAAGAAACGUCGCGGGUUAAUACCCCGCGGAACUGACGGUACCUGCAGAAUAAGCACCGGCUAACUACGUGCCAGCAGCCGCGGUAAUACGUAGGGUGCAAGCGUUAAUCGGAAUUACUGGGCGUAAAGCGUGCGCAGGCGGUUCGGAAAGAAAGGUGUGAAAUCCCAGGGCUUAACCUUGGAACUGCACUUUUAACUACCGGGGCUAGAGUACGUCAGAGGGGGGUAGAAUUCCACGUGUAGCAGUGAAAUGCGUAGAGAUGUUGGAGGAAUACCGAUGGCGAAGGCAGCCCCC